Molecule: ribosomal RNA, 383 nt
Filed under: uncultured bacterium
Lineage: Bacteria
Description: bacterial SSU rRNA
Rfam family: Bacterial small subunit ribosomal RNA
Source: RNAcentral
AACGAACGCUGGCGGCGCGCCUAAUACAUGCAAGUCGAGCGAGAAGACGUAGCAAUACGUUUGUAAAGCGGCGAACGGGUGAGGAAUACAUGGGUAACCUACCCUCGAGUGGGGAAGUAACUAGCCGAAAGGUUAGCUAAUACCGCGUACGCUCCUUGGACUUCGGUUCAGGGAGGAAAAGACGAUACCGUGGGUAUCGCGCUCUUGGAUGGGCUCAUGUCCUAUCAGCUUGUUGGUGAGGAACGGCUCACCAAGGCUUCGACGGGUAGCUGGUCUGAGAGGACGAUCAGCCACACUGGCACUGCGACACGGGCCAGACUCCUACGGGAGGCAGCAGUAAGGAAUAUUGCGCAAUGGGCGAAAGCCUGACGCAGCGACGCCGC